Molecule: long non-coding RNA, 893 nt
Filed under: Danio rerio (zebrafish)
Lineage: Eukaryota; Metazoa; Chordata; Actinopteri; Cypriniformes; Danionidae
Description: si:dkey-10p5.10 (si:dkey-10p5.10)
Source: RNAcentral
CUCCACAUGUCGUCAUCACGCCAGCCCGGUCGGGCUUGCGGCAGAAGAUCGUGUAUUUUUGUCAAAUGGUCUGUUAUAUUUUUACAGAAUAUUGUGUACGAAUGAUUGUUCACAUUGCGUUGGUUAUUCGGCUAACAUCGACGAUCCUUCGGGGGAGGCAGGUGAGUGAGGAUCCCACACUGUGGGGAAGCCGCACACUCAAUGGUGUCUCCCACAAUGAGGGCAUUGGUGGAUGCAGUUUGGGCAGUGUGGAGCAUCGGGGCUUCAAUCUAUGACUACAUCCACACGAGUGCUAUGGAGGAACGCAUCCACUCACUGGAGAGUGCCAUAACCAUCCACCAGUGUGUCAUCGGCCUGCUGUCUGCUGGACUUGUAGCACUUUUCACCUAUAUUCUGCUAAGGAAGCACUGACUCAGGACUUUUACAAAGCCACAUAGACAACAGGGGAGACCAUGGUAACAUGUUUGUGUCAAGCUCACCUAAAAGGGAUUUUAACAUCUUCUUUAAAGCUUGUCUUUUACCUAAUCCAUGACUUAACUUUUCUGAUUCUCCCUAAUUUUUAUGACUUUGAAGUCAAUGUGAUCUGGUAAAAACAAAACAAAAAAUGCUACUAUUUUCCAUUAUGGCAAAAGGAAGGAUUCAGGGAUUGUACCUGUUUAAGGUUUUAAAUGUAAGCUGGUGAAAGCUACACAAACACAAAAAAUAACCACUGGAUCAGCAGGCAAUUUAACCUGUUUGCUGCUGUUGUAAAUGGAGUCAGCUUUAGUACAUGGGACUUUAAAACCAUAUUUAACUGAAUGGCUAAGGACAGCUUCAUGCUAACAUCUCACACAACCUUUUACCAAAUCAAUUGUUAUUUGUUAAUAAAAUAAAUCAGUGACAGAUUAAAUUCA